Molecule: unclassified non-coding RNA, 313 nt
Filed under: uncultured fungus
Lineage: Eukaryota; Fungi
Description: partial contains small subunit ribosomal RNA, internal transcribed spacer 1, and 5.8S ribosomal RNA
Rfam family: Eukaryotic small subunit ribosomal RNA (bases 1-73)
Source: RNAcentral
ACAAACUUGGUCAUUUAGAGGAAGUAAAAGUCGUAACAAGGUCUCCGUUGGUGAACCAGCGGAGGGAUCAUUACAGAGUUGUAAAACUCCCACAAACCAUCGCGAAUCUUACCCGUACGGUUGCCUCGGCGCUGGCGGUCCGGAAGGCCCCUCGGGGCCCCCGGACCCUCGGGUCUCCCGCUCGCGGGAGGCUGCCCGCCGGAGUGCCGAAACCAAACUCUUGAUAUUUUUAUGUCUCUCUGAGUAAACUUUUAAAUAAGUCAAAACUUUCAACAACGGAUCUCUUGGUUCUGGCAUCGAUGAAGAACGCAGC